Non-coding RNA from Methylomicrobium album BG8, 28 nucleotides. NCBI's taxonomy places the organism in Bacteria, Pseudomonadati, Pseudomonadota, Gammaproteobacteria, Methylococcales, Methylococcaceae. The record is from Rfam.
GUUCACUGCCGUACAGGUAGCUUAGAAA